This 234-nucleotide long non-coding RNA is filed under the name Marmota monax (woodchuck). The record is from RNAcentral. Lineage: Eukaryota; Metazoa; Chordata; Mammalia; Rodentia; Sciuridae.
UUUUUGUUUUGAGAUAGGGUCUUGUGAUGUUGCUCAGGCUGGACUCGAACUUGUGAUCCUCCUGCUAGAAUGACAGGCUGCUUUACUGUGCCCAGAAAAACACAGUUGUUGUUGUUAUUGGUGGUACUGGGGAUUGAAUGCAGGAGUGCUCUACCACUGAGUGACAUCUCCAGCCCCCUCCCCUCCUUUUUGAGAAAGGGUCUUGCUAAGUUUCCGAGGCUGGCCUCAAACUUG